RNAcentral lists this microRNA precursor (63 nucleotides) under Taeniopygia guttata (zebra finch). RNAcentral's name for it is "Tgu-Mir-1-P4_pre stem-loop". It matches the Rfam family "mir-1 microRNA precursor family", at positions 10 to 70 of the family's 79-position model. From Rfam's summary of the family: This family represents the microRNA (miRNA) mir-1 family. miRNAs are transcribed as ~70nt precursors (modelled here) and subsequently processed by the Dicer enzyme to give a ~22nt product. In this case the mature sequence comes from the 3' arm of the precursor. The record is from RNAcentral. Lineage: Eukaryota; Metazoa; Chordata; Aves; Passeriformes; Estrildidae.
ACAUACUUCUUCAUAUGCCCAUAUGGAGCCGGCCGGUGCUAUGGAAUGUUAAGAAGUAUGUAU